This 434-nucleotide ribosomal RNA is filed under the name uncultured bacterium. RNAcentral's name for it is "partial 16S ribosomal RNA". It matches the Rfam family "Bacterial small subunit ribosomal RNA", at positions 29 to 507 of the family's 1533-position model. The record is from RNAcentral.
AGCGAACGCUGGCGGCAGGCCUAACACAUGCAAGUCGAACGAACCUUUCGGGGUUAGUGGCGGACGGGUGAGUAACACGUGGGAACGUGCCUUUAGGUUCGGAAUAACUCAGGGAAACUUGUGCUAAUACCGAAUGUGCCCUUCGGGGGAAAGAUUAAUCGCCUUUAGAGCGGCCCGCGUCUGAUUAGCUAGUUGGUUGAGGUAAUGGCUCACCAAGGCGACGAUCAGUAGCUGGUCUGAGAGGAUGAUCAGCCACAUUGGGACUGAGACACGGCCCAAACUCCUACGCGAGGCAGCAGUGGGUAAUCUUGCGCAAUGGGCGAAAGCCUGACGCAGCCAUGCCGCGUGAAUGAUGAAGGUCUUAGGAUUGUAAAAUUCUUUCACCGGGGACGAUAAUGACGGUACCCGGAGAAGAAGCCCCGGCUAACUUCGUG